This 270-nucleotide ribosomal RNA is filed under the name Photobacterium damselae. RNAcentral's name for it is "partial 23S ribosomal RNA". It matches the Rfam family "Bacterial large subunit ribosomal RNA", at positions 2679 to 2925 of the family's 2925-position model. The record is from RNAcentral. Lineage: Bacteria; Pseudomonadati; Pseudomonadota; Gammaproteobacteria; Vibrionales; Vibrionaceae.
UAGUACGAGAGGACCGGAGUGGACGAACCUCUGGUGUUCGGGUUGUGUCGCCAGACGCAUUGCCCGGUAGCUAAGUUCGGAAUCGAUAACCGCUGAAAGCAUCUAAGCGGGAAGCGAGCCUCAAGAUGAGUCAUCCCUGAUACUUUAAGUAUCCUAAAGGGUUGUUGGAGACUACGACGUAGAUAGGCAGGGUGUGUAAGCGCUGUGAGGCGUUGAGCUAACCUGUACUAAUUGCCCGUGAGGCUUAACCAUACAACACCCAAGGGGUUU